Molecule: ribosomal RNA, 497 nt
Filed under: uncultured bacterium
Lineage: Bacteria
Description: partial 16S ribosomal RNA
Rfam family: Bacterial small subunit ribosomal RNA
Source: RNAcentral
GACGAACGCUGGCGGCGUGCCUAAUACAUGCAAGUUGAGCGCUGAAGGUUGGUACUUGUACCCACUGGAUGAGCAGCGAACGGGUGAGUAACGCGUGGGGAAUCUGCCUUUGAGCGGGGGACAACAUUUGGAAACGAAUGCUAAUACCGCAUAAAAACUUUAAACACAAGUUUUAAGUUUGAAAGAUGCAAUAGCAUCACUCAAAGAUGAUCCCGCGUUGUAUUAGCUAGUUGGUGAGGUAAAGGCUCACCAAGGCGAUGAUACAUAGCCGACCUGAGAGGGUGAUCGGCCACAUUGGGACUGAGACACGGCCCAAACUCCUACGGGAGGCAGCAGUAGGGAAUCUUCGGCAAUGGACGAAAGUCUGACCGAGCAACGCCGCGUGAGUGAAGAAGGUUUUCGGAUCGUAAAACUCUGUUGGUAGAGAAGAACGUUGGUGAGAGUGGAAAGCUCAUCAAGUGACGGUAACUACCCAGAAAGGGACGGCUAACUACGUG